RNAcentral lists this long non-coding RNA (1789 nucleotides) under Cimex lectularius (bed bug). RNAcentral's name for it is "uncharacterized LOC112126382". The record is from RNAcentral. Lineage: Eukaryota; Metazoa; Arthropoda; Insecta; Hemiptera; Cimicidae.
GUUUUGCCUUCCACUGUACAUUAAUAACAAAUAUAUACAGACUUCUGUUCAAAUCAAAUACUCAGGACUCUACCUAGACAGCAGACUGACGUGGAAUCCCCACACAAGACUUAAGAGUCAAAAACUAACUAAGACUAGGAUAACUAUGAAGACGGCUGAAAUCCAAGUUGUUCGUCAAUUCUAAACUAACCCUAGACAAGACUUUACUGCAGCUACUUUGGACAAAAGGAGUGGUACUGUGAGGUUCUGCUAAGCCUUCCAACAUCCAGCACAUCCAAUCCUUGCAAUCAAAAGUCCUCAGCAUCAAAAUUCAUCCAAGCUCCUUACUACGUCACUAACCUCACUAUCUACAAUAACCUCAACAUAACUUUUAUGAACGAACUGAUCCAUUCUCGAUUCCAUGUGCUUCACGCCAACUUCUCGAUCUAGUCGAGCCCUCUCUAUACAUUCCACUCCCGAGAACCCGUCACUUUGCGUCAAUAACGAUGGCCUCAAGACCACCUUGCCCGUUAAUCCCUCACACUAAGUGCUAGCUUUGGCUGGUUUCUCAUAGCACGUGUCCUUUGGUGCAGCGCUUGCAUUAGUGUUAGUGCUGUGAUCGUGUAAAAAAAGAGUUCAGAAGCAGUCGGGCACGAUGGAAGAAACCGUGUGCGGUAGACAGUAGAAAUGAGACGAUCAGUGUGUGUUCGAGACUGUCGCUGGCUUCUUUGCUCUAGUAAUCCAGUAUUAAAUAGUUAAAUUAAUGAUUACACUAUCGAUAAGUUAUUAUUGCAAUUGUCGAAGUGUAGUAUCAAGGUAGAUGAGUGAACCAUGAUCGAUUCUUAUGAGGAUGAUGGAAGGUAAGCCCUAAUAAUGUUAACGUCCAAGUAGGUUGGAUCUUUAGUAGCAUAUACCCACUAUAGUUGGUCAUGACUUUAUUUGUGAUUUUAAUAUGUUUUGCUAAAUUUAAAUAAAUAAUAAUUUAUUUAACCACGCUCCCGCUUUGAUUCGUCUUCCCAAUAUGGCGUCCUGUAUUCAACAUGUAUAGACUACAAAUAAAAAAAACCUUUUGUUUAUUUAUGUGUAUGGGGUGAACUAGAAAUUGGCUAUUUCCGUCAGAUUUUUCAGUUAAGAUUUAAUAUUUUUUAUUUUUAUAUCACAACAUUGUUCAAUUAAAAACAAUAAUCUAUGUAUAUUAUAAAACCAAAUAAAUUAAUUGUGUUGUGUACAGUAUUAUAUCUAUGUGGCUUCUUUUAUUAUUCAGUGCAGCCUUAUAAAACAAAUUUACAAAAAAUGUAAAAACAAAAGACAAAAAUUCAAACGAUAAACCUAUUAAAAUUAUGCUUAACCUAUUUAAAACUAUUAACUUAAACUAAAUUUAUUGAUAGGCGUUUCAAUAGAACUAAGAAUGUUAUGUACAAUUGAUAUUUAUGUGUUCUUGUCAUUGUAAACAAAUAACAGUCAUAACAUUUUAGUCUGUAGCUUAUCUCCAAUAUAUAUAUAAAUAGAUGUUUACCACAAGAAGAACACAAUUCGAUGAAUAAGUUGAGCAUGAAUACGUUGAACUAGGUUACAUAUGUAUGAGCUAAGUAGUGUGUUGAACAUUUUGUACUUUAUAUAUAUCAAGGUACUCUGCUCGAUUGGAUGUUUUAAAAUUAUAUUUGGAGUCAAGCCUGUUUCUUCGACGUUCUAAAAAUAUUUACAAAUUGUCCAUAAGUUUAUCAAUAUGCCACUGUUCUAUGUACAGCGUUGUUAAGGGGAUUCUGGUUCUACCUGGCGUUGUGAUCUUUUUCAUCACCUGGAGGAUAUG